GAAAAGUUUUAUUUUAGCUUUAAAAAUUGUAGUUUUAGUUUAUAUAUAUGAAAUGUUGAGUAAGUUAUGGUAGUAUAUAGUAUUAUAUAAUUAAUGGAUAUAGAUUUAAUUUAAAGUUUGGAUAAAUUUGUGCCAGCAUCUGCGGUUAUACAUGGAAAUUAAAUAAUUUAUUGAUAGUUAGAUUUUAUUAAAGUGUAAGAGAAAAGUUGAUAUAAACGGUAAAAUGAUAAAUCGGUAAUUUAAGAUUUAAUAAUUCUGAAAGUAAAGAGAAGACCAGGAUUAGAUACCCUGUUAUGAAUAUUUAAAUAGAUGACUAAAGUAGUAAAUUAAAUUUAAACUUAAAAAAUUUGGCGGUAAUAAGUAAAUGUAGAGGAAUUUGCCCCGUAAUCGAUAGUCCUCGGGUAUUACUUAAUUUAAAGCUUAUAUAUCGCUGUUGAAAAAAUUAAUUAGGAAUUUAAUUUGAAUAACUGUAAGGUGUAAUAACAAGUCAAGGUUUAGUUAAUAGUUAAGGGGAGGUGAAUUACUAAAAAUUUAAUUUUGGAUUUCUUUUGAAAUAAUAAAAUGAAAUAGGAUUUAAUAGUAAACGUUUAUUAAACAAUAAUAGUUGAAUGUAAAACUUAGUAUGCACAUAUUGCCCGUCGCUCUUAUUGAAAAUUAAGAUAAGUCGUAACAAAGUAGGUUUGCUGGAAGGGAAUUCUAUAUAGAG
This 706-nucleotide non-coding RNA is filed under the name Mesaphorura yosii. Lineage: Eukaryota; Metazoa; Arthropoda; Collembola; Poduromorpha; Tullbergiidae. The record is from RNAcentral.